Molecule: ribosomal RNA, 113 nt
Filed under: Microcebus murinus (gray mouse lemur)
Lineage: Eukaryota; Metazoa; Chordata; Mammalia; Primates; Cheirogaleidae
Source: RNAcentral
CUAAGGCCAUUCCACCCUGAAUGUGCCCGAUUUCAUCUGAUCUCAGAAGCUAAGCAGGGUCGGGCCUGGUUAGUACUUGGAUGAGAAUAGAAAAAUCAAUGAAACAUAAUAGA